GACAGAGGGUGCAAACGUUGUUCGGAAUUACUGGGCGUAAAGCGCGUGUAGGCGGCUUGGAAAGUCGGGUGUGAAAUCCCAGGGCUCAACCCUGGAAGUGCACUCGAAACUGCCUCGCUAGAGUUCUGGAGAGGAAGGUGGAAUGCUUGGUGUAGAGGUGAAAUUCGUAGAUAUCAAGCGGAACACCGGUGGCGAAGGCGACCUUCUGGACAGAAACUGACGCUGAGACGCGAAAGCGUGGGGAGCAAACAGG
RNAcentral lists this ribosomal RNA (253 nucleotides) under uncultured bacterium. RNAcentral's name for it is "partial 16S ribosomal RNA". It matches the Rfam family "Bacterial small subunit ribosomal RNA", at positions 524 to 776 of the family's 1533-position model. The record is from RNAcentral.